RNAcentral lists this long non-coding RNA (230 nucleotides) under Capsicum annuum. Its description in RNAcentral is "long non-coding RNA (CANN_LNC020826)". The record is from RNAcentral. Lineage: Eukaryota; Viridiplantae; Streptophyta; Magnoliopsida; Solanales; Solanaceae.
AUUUUCUCAAUUUCCAUCCAUAUUCGUCAUUUUGAGCCUUCCCACAGUAGCUACAUGUCAUUAAUGACUUGCCAAAACUCUCAGCUAGGUGGCCAUUCACAUUAUUCACCCGUUUGACCACCAAAAUGGCCUAGCAGCCCCGUCGGACCACCCAGGUACAUUCCACAGUCUGGUAAUGGGCCAUCGGUCAAUUUUUGCCAGUAUCCAACAUCGAUCGCACCCAAUCAACC